Long non-coding RNA from Phoenix dactylifera (date palm), 2436 nucleotides. RefSeq lists it as uncharacterized. Lineage: Eukaryota; Viridiplantae; Streptophyta; Magnoliopsida; Arecales; Arecaceae. The record is from RefSeq and is a predicted model, not a curated record.
UGGUGUUGGUGGCUAUCUUGCCUUCCUGUCGCCCCUGAUAGCACGGUAUGCCUCCGCUGAUCUGUUCUGACAAUACAGAUAAAUGUCUCUUAUCUUUCGUCAGUCGAACCACUUUACGGUUCAAUGCUUGUAUGUAUUCCUUUCGGCGGGUAGCUAUUUAGAAAAGUUUAUUUCUGAUGCCCCCUUGGCUAAAUGCUUGUAUUCCUUCACUCAACCUUGGCUUGAUAGGCUUAGCACGAUACUACGGUUCUUCAGGCUCGAUUUGGCAUGGUUCACCACGUUCCUUUGAUCUUUUGGUUUGUUAUAGUUUAAUCUACUCUCGUCCUUUCCCUACAAGCUGGGUAUCUCUCCCUCCGAGUCGUGCAAGAACUAGAAGGUCUCACGGGGAUUGGGACAACUAUCCAAACUCCAGCACUGAUCAGGUGAGAAAGAAGACCGAAAUAGACCUUCUAGAAAGGUCUAUGAUCCUACCGGAAUAGAAAGUGAUAGAGAGCUCUUGUUGUACUCCACAAUGGGUUGGAGAUGCUAUUUUUCUUGCCAAUGAUGGAGGUGCCGUUUAUAUUGAUAGUAAGGGAGAAGUGGAAGCUACAUCUGUCCAUGAGAUGGAUGAAAAUGUGAAUAUUUUUACUGUUGUUUUAAAGCAUAAGGUGCAUGGCAAGUGAAGCCUUGUUAUGGUAGGUUGAGCAUAGUGAAGAGGAGGCCUAAAAAUUAUAUUGUGAUUAUGCUCAUCACUUUGAUUUUAGUGUUAGAAGGGAGAAGUAAUAUUGCUUCACCAAGAUAAACAAAAUUAUACAAAAGGACUAUUGUUACUAAAGGAAGGAUUGAAGGAUGAUACUUACCUAAUAAGACAAAUACACUUGGCCUGAUACUAGAACUAAUUGCAAAGCAAUGGUUCAUUUUAUAGUUGAUGAGCUAGGGUAAUGGAAGAUAACUAGAUUACUUUCUAAACACAAUCAUCACCUGGCUAAACUGGAGGAAAGGCAUUUGUUGAGGUCUGAACGGUCUUUACUUCUCAUUAACUUCUGAGAAGUAAUGGAUUCAAUGGUGGAUCUAGAAUUUCGAGCAAUUAAUGCCUUAUCUUAUAUGGUUGAAGAAGGGGGUAAAAUUGAAAAUGUGGGAUUUAUAAAAUGUGAUUGUUAUAAUUAUGUUGAUAUUUAGAAAAUGAUGCUACUUGAAACUGGAGACUCUCAAAGUCUAGUAAGCCAUUUCAAGCAUAUGACAAAUCAAGAGGGCAUGUUUUAUUGGGAUGUGCAAAUUGAUCGAAAGGGUAGAAUGACAAACGUUUUUUUGGAGGGAUGGGAGAUUUAGAAUCGACGAUGAUUGUUUUCAGAUGUAAUGGAUUUCGAAACUACUUAUCACAUAAACAGAUGUAACUUAAUUUGUGCACCAUUUAUGGGGGUUAACCACCAUUAGCAAAAUAUCAUGUUUGGGUGUGCUUUCUUGUUAGAUGAGAUAACAACAUCCUUCAUAUAGUUGUUUAAGACAUUCUUAGAGUCAAUGGGUGAUCGAUCGGGCAAUGCUUUAAAUGACUCUCUGAGCUUUUGAUGUAACUGGAAAAGAAACAAUACAAGAGAUCAUAAUUGUGAUUAGCUUUUUUUUACGAAAAGCAAUUGAAGAUGUGUUUCCAAAUACACACCAUCACCUUUAUUUAUAGAAUAUCUAUGAGAAUGUGGUCUCAUUUGGGUAGCUUUCAUUUUGGUCACCCUUUCCGAUAGUUGUUUAACAAAUAUUUGCAGAGAUGUUAAUCAUAAGUGGAAUUUGAAGAAACAUAGGCUAGGAUGUUUUCUGAGUAUAAUUCCUAAGAUCACAAGUGGCUUAAUAGUCUAUAUAAGCUUCGUCAAAGGUGACACAAGGCUCUUAACGAAGAUACUUUCAAUGAUGGCAUUAAAUCAUCUCAAAGGAGUGAGAGUACUGUUAAUGUCUUAAAUGGCAUAGCUGAUAAAUCAAUAUUUCUCACAAAGUUUGUACUUGCCUUCGAAAAGUUAGUUAAAGGUUAGUGUAGAAAUGAAUAUGAAGAGGAUUUUCGUUGUGCUCAAAGUGCCUCUACACGAGCAAUCAAACAUAGCGAGAUUUCGAAGAAUAUAUCCAAAGUUUAUACACAUAAAAUAUAUAAGUUAUUUGAGGAGUUUCUUGAGUGUUGUGGUGCAGCAUCAUGCCAUAAAAUUCCAUGUGAUACUUUGCUCACAUGCUUUAAAAGUGUUAAACAAAAAAAUGCACAUAGAAUUCUAGAAAGUUAUAAACGAAAAUGGUAGAUGAAAGAUGCUAGAAAAAGGAUGUAUAAAUUGAAGCAAGAUGAGCCAUCACAGCAGUAGUCCACCACUAAGGCGGAACCGAUUUAUUGCAAUUGUCCAAUGAGAUAUUCUUGUAACCUUGUAUUGUUGAGCCAAGGGCACGAGGAAUCAAGGAGAAUUCUUUGGGAUUCUCCUGAGGUGAGAG